CCGGGACUCGCCCCCGAGGCGGAUGCGCCGGCCGGACCAGCGGAUUCGCGGGUCGGGGUCACGCUGGUCACUCUGUCCCUGAUCUAACCCAGGGAUGCCUAGUGAUUCAACAGUGUACGUCCCAGAAGCGAAACUAACAAGAGCACGUAAGAGAAAACAGAGGAUCCCAAAAUGAAGACACUUGCUCAAGUUCACACAGCUGUUAAGUGGAUGACAAGGGGCCAGACUUCUAAGGUGCAGAUUGUCCCUGUAGAAUGGGAAGAAGACAUGAGUGGACAAAACGACUUAGGUAUUAUAGUCACAUUUCCUUCUAGGAGCUGGGCCUUCAUUUCCCAUCAGUGGUAUUUAUCAGCCUCAGUGAGGAACUGGACAUUUCAAGCAGAGACUGGAUUAAUGCUGGACAAAGAUCUUGUACAAGGGAUUUCGGCAUUACGUGGGCAGUUUGAAUAGAAGAUGAAUGACUUCUCAGAUCUAUUCACCAUUAUAAAUGUGGCUACUCAGCAAGGAUUCUGCCUUCGUAAAUUUCCAGAAGAGCAGCAGGCACCAAGUUCUACUUUCAUGGAUAUUUCCAGACUCUAGGAGAAGCCUAUCAAGAUACUCUCAGUCUCUAAAAGUGAUUAUCUUGCCACCCUGCCGAUCUCUUGGCUUCAUGAGGAAUGAGGAAGCAAGCCUCUAGAAAUAUCUUUCACCAAGGACCCACGAGAACACUCGCCCUUGGAAACCAGCUGCUGUGCACUAAGAAACCCAAGUCACAUGGAUGGCCACGUGUUGGCACUCUGGUUGAGAGCCCCACCUGGGCUCCUAGCUGACAGUCAGCAUCACCUAGCAGCCAUGAGACAAAGCCCACUCUUCUCAUCUAGCGAGUUGCCUUCAUAUCUGUGAGAGAGGCCCACGUGAACUGAAUUUCAUGGAUUGCGGUGGGAAUUAAAGCUGAGUCCUGACUCUUAGUUCAUGAAAAAUUAUCUGUGCAUGGUAAUAACAUAAUUCUGCUGCAUCUUUGUCAAAAGUGAUCAAUAUUUUUGAGUUCUUGGUGAUCUGUGAUAGUGGAAAACUAUACAUUUUGAUUAAAAAUUUUGAAAAUCUAGAUUUUUCAUAAUAAAU
RNAcentral lists this long non-coding RNA (1101 nucleotides) under Equus asinus (donkey). Its description in RNAcentral is "lncRNA (ENSEASG00005025398.1)". The record is from RNAcentral. Lineage: Eukaryota; Metazoa; Chordata; Mammalia; Perissodactyla; Equidae.